UACGGAGGGUGCAAGCGUUACUCGGAAUUACUGGGCGUAAAGCGCACGCAGGUGGCUGAGUCAGUCGAUUGUGAAAGCCCUGGGCUUAACCUGGGAAUUGCAGUCGAUACUACUCAGCUAGAGUAUGGGAGAGGGUAGUGGAAUUCCCGGUGUAGCGGUGAAAUGCGUAGAUAUCGGGAGGAACAUCAGUGGCGAAGGCGGCUACCUGGCCCAAUACUGACACUCAGGUGCGACAGCGUGGGGAGCAGACAGG
This 253-nucleotide ribosomal RNA is filed under the name uncultured bacterium. RNAcentral's name for it is "partial 16S ribosomal RNA". It matches the Rfam family "Bacterial small subunit ribosomal RNA", at positions 524 to 776 of the family's 1533-position model. The record is from RNAcentral.